Molecule: microRNA, 21 nt
Filed under: Petromyzon marinus (sea lamprey)
Lineage: Eukaryota; Metazoa; Chordata; Hyperoartia; Petromyzontiformes; Petromyzontidae
Description: pma-miR-430c
Gene: pma-miR-430c
Source: miRBase by way of RNAcentral
CAAGUGCUUGAUUUGUUGUGA